RNAcentral lists this ribosomal RNA (253 nucleotides) under uncultured bacterium. RNAcentral's name for it is "partial 16S ribosomal RNA". It matches the Rfam family "Bacterial small subunit ribosomal RNA", at positions 524 to 776 of the family's 1533-position model. The record is from RNAcentral.
UACAGAGGGGGCAAGCGUUGUUCGGAAUUACUGGGCGUAAAGGGCGCGUAGGCGGCCUGUUAAGUCGAACGUGAAAUCCCUGGGCUCAACCCAGGAACUGCGUCCGAUACUGGCAGGCUUGAAUUCGGGAGAGGGAUGUGGAAUUCCAGGUGUAGCGGUGAAAUGCGUAGAUAUCGAGAGGAACACCUGCGGCGAAGGCGGGUUGCUGGGCUGACACUGACGCUGAGGCGCGAAAGCCAGGGGAGCGAACGGG